Molecule: ribosomal RNA, 497 nt
Filed under: uncultured bacterium
Lineage: Bacteria
Description: partial 16S ribosomal RNA
Rfam family: Bacterial small subunit ribosomal RNA
Source: RNAcentral
GAUGAACGCUGGCGGCGUGCCUAAUACAUGCAAGUCGAGCGAACAGACGAGGCGCUUGCUCCUCUGACGUUAGCGGCGGACGGGUGAGUAACACGUGGAUAACCUACCUAUAAGACUGGGAUAACUUCGGGAAACCGGAGCUAAUACCGGAUAAUAUAUUGAACCGCAUGGUUCAAUAGUGAAAGACGGUUUUGCUGUCACUUAUAGAUGGAUCCGCGCCGCAUUAGCUAGUUGGUAAGGUAACGGCUUACCAAGGCAACUAUGCGUAGCCGACCUGAGAGAGUGAUCGCCCACACUGGAACUGAGACACGGUCCAGACUCCUACGGGAGGCAGCAGUAGGGAAUCUUCCGCAAUGGGCGAAAGCCUGACGGAGCAACGCCGCGUGAGUUAUGAAGGUCUUCGGAUCGUAAAACUCUGUUAUUAGUGAAGAACAAAUGUGUAAGUAACUAUGCACGUCUUGACGGUACCUAAUCAGAAAGCCACGGCUAACUACGUG